RNAcentral lists this long non-coding RNA (41592 nucleotides) under Ananas comosus (pineapple). RNAcentral's name for it is "long non-coding RNA (ACOM_LNC023936)". The record is from RNAcentral. Lineage: Eukaryota; Viridiplantae; Streptophyta; Magnoliopsida; Poales; Bromeliaceae.
AAGGUUAACAUUCUUGAUCUUGAAUUUAAAAGUUCUAUGCUCAAAUUUUAAAGAUUAUUCAAUUUUCACCGUCAAUUUUGAUGUAAUUUAUUUACUAAGUAAACGAUAUCGAAAAAAACUAAAAUUUUAUUCCUAAGAAAUUCAUAUACCUUAGAUCAUAUUUAACGGUGUGGAUCGUUGAUUUGAACGCCCUAAGAUCGAAAACAAACACUAUAGUACCGGAGCUCGGUACUAUAGAUAGUAUAGUAGCCUAAUUCUAUAUAUAUAUAUAUAGUGUAGAGUUACUAUAUUAUCGUAAGUAUAGCGAAUUUAAUGCUUUCGAUUUUUUGACGCUUGGAUUAAAGAAUUCUACGAUUGGAAUGAUUGCGGCCCUCCCUAGAGUUGAGUAGUACUUCUAAAAUUGAGUGGUCCCCAUAGGGUAAUAGUAUUAAUCCAAAUGUUAGAAAUGAUCAAAAGGGUUGGUCGAUCUAAGGGUCAAAAUGUCGAAAGUAUCAGAUACUCUAUACUUCCGAUAGCAAAGAAACUAUACUCUCUCUCUCUCUCUUUCUCUCUCUCUUUCUCUAUAUAUAUAUAUAGGCUGGGGCUACUAUAUUCAUAUGAGUAUAGAGCCCUUUAUACUUAUAAGUUUUCGGCCGUUCGGAUGAAAAAAUAUGCGGCUAGGAUGAGAGUAGUUAUGGUUAGGUUGAUAGUGGGCCCCCUAAGGUUGAGUGGGUUGUUGGUUGAAUAGUAUAAUAUAACGAGUGAAAAUGAUUAAAGAGUAGAUCUAACGGCCAAAAAUUUGUGAGUACAAGAGUGGAUUUUAAAUUUUUUCACCCGUUAAAUUUCAAAACUAAGCCAAACCGAAUCCAUAAAUACAAACCCAACCAAAUAGUCUUAUUUGGUGUGGUUAGGUUAGGUUUUCGGUUUGGUACCAAACUACGUACGAGUCAUGGGAGCUUUUUGGCUCCAUGAUUGCUUAUGUUUUUGCUCGUUAUGCAUUACACACGGUGAGAAUGUAUGAUAGAAAUGUACUUCUUUUAUUCUCGUAAAAGAUAUCAUACUGUACAAACUCGAAUCAUUUUGUUACGUACAAUAUAAUUUCUAUGGUUCUACUGGAAAAUGAGGAAAAUAAUUUUGUAUGAUUUUGUCCCAACUUUUUUUUGCAUACUAAAAUGUUAGAUAGGUCUCAAUAUUACAUAAUAUAUUUGUACUUCAAAAUAAAAUUCAUAUAUAUAUAUAUAGAGAGAGAGAGAGAGAGAGAGAGAGAGAGUCUGGUUUGUGUGCCUUUAGAAGCAUCAUAACCGUUGUGCUAGCUAUUAAGUCAUUUCUGAUACUAAAACUUUUGUUAAAUUUGACCUAGUGCUAUAAGUAUUUAGAAAAUAAAUUUCAUAAUUUUUCACUAUCAUUUAUCUAAUAGCCGAAAUGACUCAAAAUUCAUGAUUGAAAAUAAAAAUAUCAUAAAAAGUAAUAAUAUGACACUAAAUUUUAGAUAAAAAAUAUUGAUCUUGUUUUAUAUUAGUAUAAAAAAAUUUUCUAUCAAAAUUUUAUGUGCUUUUAAUAUUUUUGCACUGUUAAAUUUGCAAAUAGCUCAUUAUAACUAUUAAAUUAGUGAUUAUAAGCCCCCUUAGUCAUUUGAUUAAUGCAAUUGAAAAAUCACGAAAUUUCUUUUUCAGAUAUUUCAAAUAUUCUAGAACAAGUUUAGAAAAAGCAAUCGUUGAUUUGGAAGUCCCAUUAUAAAAGAUAUUUUAAUAGUACGAAAAUCAUCGUGCUUCUAAAAAUAUACCAGCCUAACUUAUAUCUUUAUAUAUAUUUCUGCUUCAAUUUUUCUAACACACUAAACAUGUUGACAAAGCAUCAAGUGGUAUACAUGAAUGUGAUAGUGUAUUGGGAGGAGCAGAGAAAGAGUCCAUUAACAUGUUGGGGGUUCAAUGGCUCAAAUUGAGUGGUGUGGGAGGAAAAACAAAAAGAAAAAAGAAAAGCAAAGAAGCAAAGCUGGAAGGUUGAAUCUCACCGAAGGUCCCUAACACAAGUGGCAAAGGGCUUGGUGGUUGGUAUCUGAGGUUUCAUGUUCAAAUUCUAAUUGAUUGACAUUUUCAGCUAAAUUUAUUUCUAAAUAAAGUAAACGGAGCAGAUAGCAUACAAUCUAUUUCUCAAAAAAAACAAAAAAAAAAAAAAAAUCUUGAGAAUCUUGAUUGUUGACUGUUGAGGAGAAGGUCAAAGAAGGAAGGCAGGCAGGCCAUCAAUCAAUCCAUCCAAGGUGCUGAUCAUCCACUUACAGCACUUGAAUUGACAUGCAUGUUGUGGGCGGGGAUGUGGAUAAUUUGAAGAAUUAAGGAACUUAUUCGAUACUAAACGAAUAUAAUUUUGAAUAAAAUAUAAAAAGUAAAAAUUCGACUAAUUGAAUUUGGGUAUAAAUUUUAUCUCUAGCUGGUUGGAACUUGAAUUCCAAUAUGACCCGAACCCAAAUUAAUUUAUAUAUAUUAAAUGAUUAAUGUUAUUUUUGAGUUUGUAUUUUAAAACUUUAGAUUUAAUAUAAGAUAUUGUUUUGAAAUUAACAGGAUAAAGAGAAAUAAUUAUUUCGAAUUCAUAUUUUUAUGUUUAGAUUUAGUUUUAGGAUUACUGGCCAGAUUCGGAUUAGGAUAUGGAUUUUUAAAAUCUAUUGAAUUAGGAUUUCGAUUCGGAGUUUGUGUUUGGUAGUUGGGUUUGGAUAGAGGUUUUUGAAAACCCGCCCUGAAUUGACCCCAUUGACAUCCCUAGUUGUGGGUUUCCCUACGGAUAAACUCCAUGUUUGGUCCUCAAACUGUGAACUGUGUGACAUUUUGACACUAAAAUUUUAAUUUAUUUAUCAUAAUUUUUGCUCAAAUUAUAUAAAUUAUUAUAAUCAAUCCCUACAAUAUAACUUAGUUGACUAAAUUAUAAUGCAUCGCUGAUUUGAAAGUGACACGAUGUUUUAAUUAUUAUCGUAUCAUCAAUUACAUAUCAAUUAAAUUGAAUUGUAGAAUUUGAUUGUAAUAAUUUAAAAAGUGCUAUAUCAUCUAGAGCGAUAUAUCAAUAUUUAGUUAACUGGGAUUGUAGAAUUUGAUUAGAACAAUUCAAAAAGUUCAAACCAUAAAUUAUAAAGAAGUUUGAGGAUCAAACUGUCACAUAACAAAUAGUUUGAGGGGCAAACGUGCAAUUUAGCCGUUUCCCUACGCACAUCCAAAAAUGAUGCAGACUCUUUAAAAUAAGAUCGAGUUGAUAGAAAAUGAAUCGAGAUUAGUCAUAACAAUUUCGCUCAGGCACAUAAAAGAUAUCAAGUGAAUCAUGACAUGUGUAUUGACUAAAAUGGCAUGCCCUAAUAUGACACAUGCAGAAAUAAAAUUCAGAACCUCUUAGAAUGGGAAGGGCUUAGAACUAGCUCUUAUACUGUGCUACCCAAAAGAUUGUUAAUAGAAAAUGGAAUAGGGUUAGGCCCUGUUUGGCCUAACUAUUUUACAGUGAUUUUCGGCUGAAAAUCACUUUUAGGCCCAAUAGAGUGUUUGGUAAAGAUAUCUCAAAAAUCUGAUUCUGUUUUCUAAAAACUGAAAACUUAUUCUUCAACCCCCAAAAGCAGAAGCUGAAAAAACCUGCUUCUCAAAACUGAUUCCCGCACAAGUUGUUUCCCCACUUAAAAUUUUUUACUAAAAUACCAAAAUUACUCUUAAACAAACAAUACAAUUCUAUCAUACCCUUUUAUAAUUAAUAAUACCUCUCCCAUUACUCACAAUUCUAUUAUACUCUUUUAUAAAAAUUUUACAAAUUUGAAAUUAAAAUUUUAAAUAUUCAAAAUUUAAAUUUUAAAAUUUUAAAAUUUUAAAAUAUAAAAUUUAAUAUUUAAAAUUUAAAAUUUAAAUUUUAAAAUAUAAAAUAUAAAAUUUAAAAUUUAAAAUUUAAAAUUUAAAUUUUAAAAUAUAAAAUUUAAUAUNNNNNNNNNNNNNNNNNNNNNNNNNNNNNNNNNNNNNNNNNNNNNNNNNNNNNNNNNNNNNNNNNNNNNNNNNNNNNNNNNNNNNNNNNNNNNNNNNNNNNNNNNNNNNNNNNNNNNNNNNNNNNNNNNNNNNNNNNNNNNNNNNNNNNNNNNNNNNNNNNNNNNNNNNNNNNNNNNNNNNNNNNNNNNNNNNNNNNNNNNNNNNNNNNNNNNNNNNNNNNNNNNNNNNNNNNNNNNNNNNNNNNNNNNNNNNNNNNNNNNNNNNNNNNNNNNNNNNNNNNNNNNNNNNNNNNNNNNNNNNNNNNNNNNNNNNNNNNNNNNNNNNNNNNNNNNNNNNNNNNNNNNNNNNNNNNNNNNNNNNNNNNNNNNNNNNNNNNNNNNNNNNNNNNNNNNNNNNNNNNNNNNNNNNNNNNNNNNNNNNNNNNNNNNNNNNNNNNNNNNNNNNNNNNNNNNNNNNNNNNNNNNNNNNNNNNNNNNNNNNNNNNNNNNNNNNNNNNNNNNNNNNNNNNNNNNNNNNNNNNNNNNNNNNNNNNNNNNNNNNNNNNNNNNNNNNNNNNNNNNNNNNNNNNNNNNNNNNNNNNNNNNNNNNNNNNNNNNNNNNNNNNNNNNNNNNNNNNNNNNNNNNNNNNNNNNNNNNNNNNNNNNNNNNNNNNNNNNNNNNNNNNNNNNNNNNNNNNNNNNNNNNNNNNNNNNNNNNNNNNNNNNNNNNNNNNNNNNNNNNNNNNNNNNNNNNNNNNNNNNNNNNNNNNNNNNNNNNNNNNNNNNNNNNNNNNNNNNNNNNNNNNNNNNNNNNNNNNNNNNNNNNNNNNNNNNNNNNNNNNNNNNNNNNNNNNNNNNNNNNNNNNNNNNNNNNNNNNNNNNNNNNNNNNNNNNNNNNNNNNNNNNNNNNNNNNNNNNNNNNNNNNNNNNNNNNNNNNNNNNNNNNNNNNNNNNNNNNNNNNNNNNNNNNNNNNNNNNNNNNNNNNNNNNNNNNNNNNNNNNNNNNNNNNNNNNNNNNNNNNNNNNNNNNNNNNNNNNNNNNNNNNNNNNNNNNNNNNNNNNNNNNNNNNNNNNNNNNNNNNNNNNNNNNNNNNNNNNNNNNNNNNNNNNNNNNNNNNNNNNNNNNNNNNNNNNNNNNNNNNNNNNNNNNNNNNNNNNNNNNNNNNNNNNNNNNNNNNNNNNNNNNNNNNNNNNNNNNNNNNNNNNNNNNNNNNNNNNNNNNNNNNNNNNNNNNNNNNNNNNNNNNNNNNNNNNNNNNNNNNNNNNNNNNNNNNAAUUUUAAAUUUUAAAUAUUUAAAUUUUAAAUUUUAAAUUUUAAAUUUCAUAAUUAUUUUAAAUUUUAAAUUUUUAAAUUUUUAAAAUUUUAAAUUAUUUUUUAAAUUAAAAUAUCAAUUUUAAAUUUUGUAUAAUUUUGAAAUUUAAAAUUUUAAUUUUAAUUGAAAUUGAAAUUGAAAUUUUAAAUUAUUUUAAAAUAAAAUUUAAUAAAAUAAUUAAUUUAUGCAAACAUUAAAAAAAAUUUCCAAACAGCUUUUCAAAAUUACUUCAGAAAAAUCGCUUUUAUCUAUACUCAGCCAAACGCUCUACAGCUUUUAACUAAAAUCACUUUUUUAAACCAAAAUCAUUUUUUCAUAAAUCACUUUUUCAGAAACUAAGCCAAACGAGCCCUUAAUCUUAACAACUCUUCUGAACGAAAGUCUUAUUUGUCACAGUAAUAACCAGAUAGGAUAUAUUUUGGUAUUUUAAAUCAACUUUAUGCUAUGUGCAGAAGUAAAGAAUCUAGUUUACAAGGGCACUAUAAUAAUUUUAGCAUUGAAAUGAUAUUUAAAAGACAAAAAAUUAUCAGGUGUUGAUGUGUUGGCAAUUCUAUAUAAUAAUCUUUGGUUACGUACAUUAACUAAUCAAAUAUAUAUAUCUUCAUGACGAAGCCAAAAUAAUAAUUAUAUAUAUAGGCAAUAUUGUGGGUAACUUUUAAGUGGUACCUAUGUUGAUCUAACUAGAAUUUGUUUCCUUGUUCUUGCACAAAAGCAGACAUUGAAGGGAGGCAAAAUAAGUCCAAGUCCUCAAAAAUAAUUGCAAAAAAUUUCUUUAUUUGUUUCAUAAUUCUUUUUCUCUUUUUUAUUUUGUAAAUUUACAUUAUUUUCACUAUUUCAUUAAUAAAAUUUUUCACUUAAAGUAAGAAGUUAGGCAAUUUAAAUACGAUUUUAAUUUUAUUAUUUAGCCCCUAAAUUUUUUCUAUNUAUAUAUAUAUAUAUCUGUGUGUGUAGAGCUACUAUAUUUUCGGAAAUAUAAAAUAGUUGAAAUUUCUGAUUUUUUGAUUCUUCAAUUAAGAAUUGUAAAAUUGGAAUUAUAAUUGUCCCCCAUGGAAUUGACUGGUCCCUGGGAUUGAGUGGUCCCCCUAAAGUAAAAAUAUUAUUCCAAGGGCUUGAAAUGAUCAAAGUGUUUGAUUCAAGAGUUAAAAAAUUGAAACCACCAUAUGAGCGGCAUAAUAGGACUCUCUCUCUCUCUCUCUCUCUCUCUCUCUCUAUAUAUAUAUAUAUAUCAAAAAAUCAACCGAUUUUGAUUCUUUUACACCAUUAAACUAGCGAAUAUCGCAUAUCGACCGUUAAAAAUUAUCAAUUUUGUGACAUUUUGAUCGUAAGGUAAAUGAUGUCGAAAAAUUAUGAAAUUUGAUUUUUAUAAAUUUUAAAUGCUCAAGAUAAUGUUUAAUGAUAUGGAUCGUCGAUUCGGAAGCUCUAUCAUCGAAAACGACUUAUGAGUACGAGGACGAUCGUACUCAUAAGAGUAUAGUAGCUGAACUCUAUAUAUAUAGAGAGAGAGAGAUAGUUGGGCUAGAAUAUUAUUGAUAGCAAAAAAUUCUUUUUGUUAUCAAAUUUUUAGCCUUUGAAUCAACUCCUUUCCUUUCAUCAUUUUCAACAAUUGGAUUAACUAUUAUAACAUAGUGGGGACCACUCAACCCUAAGGGAUUAAUAUCAUCCUAAUCUUAAAAUUUUUUAUCCAAGAGUUAAAAACUUGAUAGCAAAAAUAGUCUUUUGCGAUCAACAGUAUUCCAGUCCAACUCUCUCUCUCUCUCUCUCUCUCUCUCUCUCUCUCUCUCUCUCUCUCUCUCUCUCUCUCUCUCUCUCUAUAUAUAUAUAUAUAUAUAUAUAAAGUUGAGCUAGAAUACUACCGAUAGCAAACGGGCUCCGUUGCCACCCAUUUGUUUUCGAUGAUAUAGCCUCCAAAUCGACAGUCGGUACCGUUGAACAUGAUCUAUACCACUUAAAGUAUUUAGAAAUCAAAUUUCAAAUCUUUUCGAUAUCAUUUACCUAAUGAUCAAAGGGUUUCAAAAUUUGUAAUUUUAAUGGUCGAUGUGAAGCGUUUUCUCGUUUAAUGGCAUAAAGAUAUUCAAAUCAAUUGAAUUUUUGUUAGAAAAUUUUUUAAACUAUUUAAAACAAGAUCUGUACUCUUGAUCUUGAUUACAAGACUCCUAUCAUCAUUUUUUAAAGAAUAUUAAUUUUCAGCCGUUCAUUUUUUAUGUCCACUUGAUGGAUAAGAAAAUAAUAUAAAAAAUGUAUGAAAUUUGAUUUCUAAACACUUCAAGUAGAAUAGAUCAUGUUCAACAGUGCCGAUCGUCGAUUUGGAGGCUCCAUCAUCGAAAACAAAUGGGUGGCAACGGAGCCCGUUUGCUAUUGAUAGUAUUCUAGCCCAACUCUCUCUCUCUCUCUCUCUCUCUAUAUAUAUAUAUAUGCUUUUAAAAGUACCAAGUCAUUGGUGCUUGUAAGUUUUCGGCCCUUGGAUUAAGGAAUGUGCGGUUACGAUGAUAUGGGCACCCUAGGGUUGAGUGGGUGGUUGGUUGAAUAGUAUAAUCUAACGGGUGAAAAUGAUCAAAGGUGUCGAUCUAACGGAAAAAAAUUUAGAAGCACCAAGUGCUUGGUGCUUUUAUAAGCACCGUAGCCGGACUAUAUAUAUAUAUAUAUAUUAGUAACAACUCUUAAACCAUGUUAUUUGAAAUUAAAAUUGAGUCAGUAGGGAAUGACUUAGGAAUAAUCUUUACAAGCCCUAAUUUUAUUUGGAUAUUGCAGCUUUUUAGUUUAGAUAGAUUCUGUAUGGCCCAUGGCCCUAUCUCUAAAAAACAGGCCAUUAGUGAUCCACCAGGAUCCAGGUUGUAAAGUUUGGUUUAACUAGGCAUAUCAAUGUGUAGGAAUACUCAAAAUUUUAUCCGAAUCUAAAUCUGAACGGAGCGAAUUUAUUCAAUUUUAAAUAGAUAUAAUUUUGGAUACGAAUAUAAAAAACGAAAGCACGGCGGAUUUGGGUUUGGAUAUAGAUUUUGUUUAUACUUGAGCUCGACCCAAACCCGAAUUGAUUUUGUAUUAUAGAAUAUAUCCUAUUUAUAUUUGAAUUUGUAUUUUAAAAAUUUAGACUUAAUAUAAUAUGUUUUGAAAUACGUUAAAGAGAAAUAAUUGUUUCGCAUUCGAAUUUCAGAAUUUUGGUCGGGUUCAGAUCUGGAUAUGGAUUUUUAAAAUCCGUUGAAUUUGAGUUCGUCUUCGGAUUCGGGUUUUGGAUUUGAUAUUUGGUUGUCCCGAAUCCGACCUGUUGACAUUCCACGGUUGACCAAAAGAGAGAGAGGGGAGGGACCUAAAAUGUUGGACCUCUUUAUCAAUGAUUCAAAGGAUCUGAGUCGUCAAGUUUGGCUUGAGUUGAUACAUUAACUGUUAGGAUUUAGUUAGAUUUGUAGUUGAAUCCUAGUUAAAUAAGAAUUAAUAUUUAAAUCUGUUGGAGAUAAAUUAAGAUUUAAAUAUUAAUUAGAGGAUAAACCUAACUAGAUUAGGAUUAAUAUUUAAAUCUNAGGAGACAAGCUCAAGGUGGAGCUUGCAUGGUGAGCUCGACGUGACGGUUGAAAAUUACAAAUCCAACCAAGGUAGAGAUUGUUAAGAUUUGGUUAGAUUUGUAAUUGAAUCCUGUUUGGAUAAUAAUUAAUAUUUAAAUCUGUUGGAGAUAAAUUAAGAUUUAAAUAUUAAUUAGAGGAUAAACCUAACUAGAUUAGGAUUAAUAUUUAAAUCUACUAGAGAUUAAUUAAGAUAGAUUUAGAUAUUAAUUAGAGUAGAAAUCCUAAAUAUACUAGAAUUGGGUACAUUCUAGUUAGAGCAUUAUAUAUAAUGCAUUAGAGUCUUUUUUUUGAAGGAGUACUGGCAUUGGUGUGUCGUACUAGAGAGAGAAAAAGAGAGAGAGUUAUUUUAGUGCACCUUGUGCACGGGUGCACGCUGAGAGGUCUUCUUUGUGGGUUCAUAGAAGACGAGAGAAAGGUAGGAAAGAUUCAAAAAGAGGGAUAGGGUUGUAGCUACUCUGUUGCAGAAGAGGAGUCAGGUGUAAUCUUCUCUUAUUUAAUGAAUCUUAUUUUACCCGCAUAUUUUCUGUUUUGGUUUUUUCUCUCUUUUAUGAUUGUAUCAACUUUUGCUGAGGAGACGGAUUUAUGGUAAAAACGCGAUUCAACGCUUCCGUUGCGAAAUCCCAACAAUCGAUACUGGACCCACAGCAGUCGGUAUCGGAGCGGGUUGCGGAUUCACGAGAUCCGGUACCGGGGUGAGUACCAGAUUCCUAACAAGUGGUAUCAGAGCCGAAGGUUACCGAUCUGCUGGAGAGAUCGACGGAGAUGGCCACGAAAUUCGAAAUCGAGAAGUUCGACGGCAAGACAAUUUCGGAUUAUAGCAAAUUAAAGUGCGAGCAAUCCUCGUACAGCAAGAGUUAGACGAGACGUUGAACGGGAAGGAGGCAAAGCCGGCGGAGGUCACGGAUGCAGCAUGGACGAAGAUGGAGCGGAAGGUGCUGAGUACGCUUCAUCUAUCAUUAGCAGAUGAGGUUCUUUACAAUGUAGCCGGCGAGACGACACCGGUGAAAUUGUGGAAGAAAUUGGAAGAUCUGUACAUGACCAAAUCCCUGACGAACAAAUUGUAUCUAAAGCAGCGACUGUUUACGUUGCGGAUGCAAGAAGCGGCGAACCUACAUGAUCAUCUAAAUGAGUCAACAAGGUGGUGGCCCAGUUGACCAGCAUCGGAGUCAAUCUGGAUGACGAAGACAAGGCAUUGAUCCUACUAUCUUCGCUACCGACGACAUAUGAGUAUCUGGUGACCACGUUGCUUUAUGGCAAGGAGUCCAUAAGCGUGGAUGCGGUCACGGCGGCGCUUCUCUCGAACGAGAUGCGGAAGAUGACUCAGGAGUCCGGCACGCAAAGUUAGGAUGUAGGACUGGUGGUGACUGCGAAGAAGGACGUGAGAAUAUCGGCGACCGGAUAUCGACAGAAGAAAUCGCUAUCUGAGGUAGAAUGCUUUUACUGUCACAGGAAGGGGCAUAUCAAGCGCAAUUGUCGAAAACUUCAGGAUGAUCUGAAAGAGUUAAAGCGACAGAAGGAGCAAACUGUCGUGAACCAGGACGAGACGGUAUCAGCGACGGCACAGAUAGCAGAGUCGGAGAUGAUCGAUUCUGAUGUGCUGUAUGCGGCGAUCGGAGGUGCGAAAAUUUCGGACGAUGCGUGGGUGCUCGAUUCGGCGUGUUCUUUUCACGUAUGCCCGGAGAAGGAGUCUUUUGCCACCUAUAAGCCGAUAAAAGGUGGAAAGGCGCUGAUCGGGAACGGGACAGCGUGCAAAGUAUUGGGAGUCGGCAUGGUGAAAAUUCGAAUGCACGAUGGGGUCGUGAGGACGCUGACAGGUGUGCGGCACGUUCCUGGAUUGAAGCGGAAUUUGAUCUCGUUAGGCGCAUUGGACUCGAAAGGUCGCGAUAUUUCGGCUUCAGGUGGAGCUAUGAGGGUCCGAAAACGAGAUCGGGUCGUGUGCGAGGCGAACAAGCGUGGGAACUUAUACGUUCUGAACGGGAGCAUAGUCUGAACGGAAGCAAAGACGGUUUGGGUUCCAAAAGUUCGUGGAGGUGCAGUCGCUCUAGGCGAAGCGACGGAUGCGGCGACAUCGAGCGGAGGAGACAAGCUCAAGGUGGAGCUUGCAUGGUGAGCUCGACGUAGCGGUUGAAGACUACAAAUCCAACCAAGAUGGAGAUUGUUAGGAUUUAGUUAGAUUUGUAGUUGAAUCCUAGUUAGAUAAAAAUUAAUAUUUAAAUCUGUUGGAGAUAAAUUAAGAUUUAAAUAUUAAUUAGAGGAUAAACCUAACCAGAUUAGGAUUAAUAUUUAAAUCUACUAGAAAUUAAUUAAGAUAGAUUUAUAUAUUAAUUGGAGUAGAAAUCCUAAAUAUACUAGAAUUGGGUACAUUCUAGUUGGAGCAUUAUAUAUAAUGCAUUAGAGUCUUUUUUUUGGAGGAGUACGGCUGGAACCAUUGGGGUAUCGUAUCAGAGAGAGAAAGAGAGAGAGAGUUAUUUUAGUGCACCUUGUGCACGGGUGCACGCUGAGAGGUCUUCUUUGUGGGUUCAUAGAAGACGAGAGAAGGGUAGGAAAGAUUCAAAAAGAGGGCUAGGGUUGUAGCUACUCUGUUGCAGAAGAGGAGUCAGGUGUAAUUUUCUCUUAUUUAAUGAAUCUUAUUACCCGCAUAUUUUCUAUUUUGGUUUUUUUCUCUCUUUUAUGAUUGUAUCAACUUUUGCUGAGGAGACGGAUUUAUGGUAAAAACGCGAUUCAACGCUUCCGUUGCGAAAUGCCAACAAUCGAUACCGGAUCCACAGCAGUCGGUAUCGGAGCGGGUUGCGGAUUCAUGAGAUCCGGUACCGGGGCGAGUACCGGAUUCCUAACAUUAACACCGUUCGAAGGACAUGUUUUUCACGUACGAACUCUGAUCACAACUAUUUUUUAUUGUACGCAUGCAAAUCGAGGAGAAGUAGUUGGGCUUCGGUAACCAAACUUAGUACACAAGUACUACUAAGUUCGGUAUAAGUUUUAGAACGUUUUCAGGUCCUUUCGGCCUUUGGAAUCAUAAUUAAAGUUCGGCUUGUCAUUCAACAAAAGUUUAAGCAAAGUUCGACUUUCCAUUCAAAAAAAAAAAAUUUAUCAUGAAUAUUUUUUAUUUGUAAGGAAUAGGAUUUCAUAUGUAGUAAAUUUUGAUGCACUCCAUCAAUUCUUUUCGUAUUAUUAGACUGAUUUUUCAAAAAAGAUGGUUGUAAUCUUUUUGAUAAAAAAAAUAAUGUAAUAAAAAUAAUAUUUAAUUUUGGCUAACAUCUCUUCUCUAUACUACUUUAAUUCCGCGGGCUUACCGAGUAGGCCCGGCCCAAAAUAGGGAUAAUUGCCUAUAUACCCCCUUAAAACUUUGAAAAUAUCUCAUUUACUCCUUUUUUUUUUUUUCUUUCCAAUAUACCCCUCAUAUGUUCUUCCAUUAUUCCAAAAUACCUCUACAGUUACUACUCGUUAGAUUAACUUGCUAGAGUUAAAAAAAAUCAAAAUGCUUAUUUUGCCUCAACUGAAGGGCAAAUAAGAAAUGUUGGUGAUUGUAGAAGGAUAUAUUUGAAGAGACUAAAAAUUAAAAUACUUUUUGUGCCCCUAACUUAAGAGCAAAUAAGAAAAGUUGGUGAUGGUGGAAGGGUACAUUUAAAAGGGCAAAAUAGUAAUUUUAUACAGAUAACAGCUAUUGCUAAUAGUUCAUUAAUUAACAGAAUUUAACUCUAGGGGUAUAUUUGAAAUAUAUUGGAACGUAAAAAAGGUAUUUUCAAAAUUAGCCUUCUAAGAAAGAUAAAUCAGAAAGUCGAGAACUUUUCAGGAGAAUAUAAACAAUUGUCCCUUAUAAAUAUUACUAAAAUUAUUUAAAAAAUAUGUAAAAAUCUAAAAUUAUUUAAAAAUUAUGUAAUUUUUCUUGUAAAUAAAUAAAUAAUUGUAUAUUUUAUAGAAAUAAUAUUAAAAAUUUUAAAAGUAAAUUUUUUAAAAAAUGACGAAUAUAAACAAUUGUCCCUUAUAAAUAUUACUAAAAUUAUUUAAAAAAUAUGUAAAAAUCUAAAAUUAUUUAAAAAUUAUGUAAUUUUUUUUGUAAAUAAAUAAUUGUAUAUUUUAUAGAAAUAAUAUUAAAAAUUUUAAAAGUAAAAUUUUUUAAAAAUGAAAAGAUUAAUUAAAACUUAAAAAAGGCCUUAGGCCUUAGAAGUUACACCAUAGGCUAAUUCGAGGAAUCUGAUCAAGAAGAUUCAAACAAACGCAAGAUUUUUUUUUUUUUUCGAUAAUAGUAGUUCUCGGUUACCUAAAAUAACCUAGUAUAACUAUCCCUACCAACAACUCUAUUUUUUAUAUAUAACUAUCCACUAUUUUUCUUAUUCCAUAUUAUCUAUCCAAAUUCUAUUUUUCUUAUUCCUGGAACAACUCAAUUUUUAUCCAAACGCUAUUUUUCUUAUCCCCAUACUUGUACCUAUCCCCGUAAUAGCUAGUUCAAUUUUAUUUUAAGAAAGAAUAGUUAAUCCGUCUAAUGGGGAAAAUUUUGUUUUGUUUAUUUAUUUUAAAUUCUAUAAAUAUUUAAAAAAAUUUAAAAAAAUGUAUAAAAAUAUGCAAAAAAAUUUAAUUUUUUUCCUCAAUAACCAAAAUAUUUUUUUAAAAUCUAAUUAAUCCCAUUAGUAAACCCUAAAAGGAUUACAUAUUUUGGAAUUACAAAUAUCCUAAAAUUUAGGAUUUUAUUAAGAAUAGAAUUAGGAUUUUUUUUUUAUAUAUAGAGACAGUUUUGGUAAAUAUUCUUUUUUCAUUUUUUUUUUAUCUUUGUAAUUUGUAUUUUUCAUUUAUGUAUAGUUUCCAUUUUUUAUUUUUUACAUUUUAUGAUCAGAUCAGCUACAGCAAUAAUUCCAAAAGGCCUUAGUUAACUUAAGAGAAAUUAUUUAUUAAUUAAUAUUUUUCCGGCUUCGGAAUUAUUUUCAUAUAAGGGCCCAUUUGGCAAUUACAUGAAUUAAAAAUAGAGUAAUCUGAAAAUUCUGAUUACUCUGAAAUAUUUUACUUUAUUUUUUCGUGUUCGGAUAAAAUGUUGUAUCUUUUACGGAAUAGAAAAAAUGGUUAGUUAGUGUUCGUUAGAGUAUUUUUAAAACUCAUAUACCUAUACUAUUAUAUACCCUAAGAUAUACCUAACUACUACAUAUACAAUAUUAUAAUAUAAUUAUAUAUAUAUAUGUAAUGUACGUGCAAAUGCACGUAAUAAUUAUUAGAAAAAGUUAUAAUUUUUUAAAAAUUUAUUUUUUAAUUUAGGCCAUAUUUUUAUAUGAUUGCAAAUGGUGUAACUAAAAAUUUAAAUAAUAAAUCACACUAUUAAGAAAGAUAUGCUUUAAAUGAUAAAAAAUUAACAAUAAUCUCUAAUGCAAAAAUUAUUUUUGAAAUUAAAUAGAAAAAUAAAAUCUGUUAGGAAAUAAAUUUUGAAAUUAAAUAGAAAAAUAAAUCCGUUAUCUUAAAAAGAAAAUAUAUUUUUGAAAUUAAAAAUUAAAUAGAUAAUAUCUAAAAAAGAUAUUUUAAAAUAAAAUAGGAAAAUAUCUUUUAUAGGAUUUUCACACUCGUAAUCUGUUAUAGAAAAUUUACUUUUGAUAUUAAAUAGAAAAAUUUAUAUUUUAGGAUUUUCACAUCAGUAAUGUGUAAUAGAGAACUUACGUAUUCAUUGCUAUUUUUAUUUCUAUUUUUAUUCUUAUAUUUAAAAUUUUUCGUACGGAAAGAGAAAAAUAUGCGCUAAUUUUCCCGCCGAAAAAUGGGUCUGUCGACAGACCUAAAUUUGAAUAUACGUGCUUUUAUAUAUAUAUAUAUAUAUAUAUAUAUAUAUAUAUAUAUAUAUAUAUAUAUAUAUAUAUAUAUAUAUAAAAGAUUGAUCGAACUCGCCGUUAUGAUGUUAUAAAAAUGAUAAAAUAGUUUUAUAAUAUCCAAAAUUGAGGCCUCAUUCAAUGAAGUGCUUACUAAGGCACAAUUUUAGAAUGCACUUUUAGGAGAAAGCAAAUUCAUUCAAAUCUCUUUAAAAAUAAUGUAAAAAUAAUAGUUGUGUGCUCAUAAAAUAACUAUUUACUCCAAAAUUUUAAGCCGUAAGAAAAUAAUAUUUUAAUAUUUGUAAUUAUUUUUUUUCAAUUUUCUGCUCGGAACUAAUUAAAGGAACCGGCCGUGGAGUUACCAAAUAUGCCUUAAACCCACGUAGCAUACUAGCACAGUAAAAACAAAAUCUUUCAUAGAUGAAAAAAAAUAAAAAUAAUCAUAAAAAAUAAAUAUAAAAAUAAAAAAAUAAUAAAACGAACAAAAAAACACAAGAACAUAGAAUUUAUAUGGUUCGGCUAAUAAUGACUCGACCUGUGUUCACGGGCAAAAUAACCUCAAUACGUUUUUUGAUUAAUUCACAGUAUAAAAAUAUAAAAAGUGAAAUUAAAUUAUAAAGUACUCUGUCUCAAAAGAUGUUCAAUUUUUUUUUCCUCCACUAGAGUGUCUGUGAAGAAGCUCAUAUAUCUAAAUAUGAAUUAGAUAUAUGUUGGGAAUCCGGUACUCGCUCCGGUACCGGAUCUCGUGAAUCCGCAACCCGCUCCGAUACUGACUGCUGUGGAUCCGGUAUCGAUUGUUGGAAUUCCGCAACGGAAACGUCAAAUCGGAUUUUUUACCAUAAACCCGUCUCCUCAGCAAAAACUGAUAUAAUCAUAAAAGAGAAAAAUAUGCAGGUAAAAUAAGAUUCAUUAAAUAAGAGAAGAUUACACCUGACUUCUCUUCUGCAACAGAGUAGCUACAACCCGAGUCCUCUUUUUGAAUCUCUUCUAUUAUUCUCCCGUCUUUUAUAAACCUAAAAUACAAUCCAUCUACGUGCACUCGUGCACUAGGUGCACAAAAUAACUCUCUCUCUCUCUCUCUUUUUCUCUUUGCGUACUCUUCCCAAAAAGAGACUCUAAUGCAUUAUAUAUAAUUAAUGCUCCAUCAAGAAUGUACCCAAUUCUAAUAUAUUUAGAAUUCCUACUCUAAUAAAUAUUUAAAUCUGAAUUGAUUUAUCUCCAAUAGAUUUAAAUAUUUAUCCUAAUCUAGUUAGAUUCAUUCUCUAAUUAAUAUUUAAAUCUUAAUUUAUCUCAAACAGAUUUAAAUAUUAAUUCUUAUCUAAAUAAGAUUUAACUACAAAUCUAACCAAAUCCUAACAAUAUAUCCUUGUCACGAGUUUUCAAAGUAAUUUGUAAAAUUCUCGGCACGAGUUUUAUGGUCAAAAAAUAGCUCCAUGUAUGUAGAUUAUUUUUUUUUGGAGGUAUGUGUUCACACGUGCCCUAAUUAAUAAUGUGAUAGAAGAAUUAAAUCAGAGAAUAUGACUCGCAUGUUCCUGCGUCGUGACAAAGUCCAAAGUUGUACCACACAAAUAAUUGGAGUAUAUAAUAAAUAUCUUAGAAAAUCUAUAAGAAUGCGAUGGAAGUAUCAGAAUCGAUGACCGGCACUACCUUAAAUAUAAUCUAAACUCUUAAAAGUACUUAGAAAUUAAUUUUCAUGAUUUGUCGACAUUAAUUACCUAUAGAUCCAAUAGUUUCAAAAUGAAUGGUGGGAAAUAAAUAUAUCUAAAAAUAAUGACAAAUGACUUAAAUUUCAGAUCAGAUAUACUGAUGUUGUUCUAAAUAGUAAAAGAAAAAUCUAUCAACAUUUUAGUGAAUUUGGAUUGUUAAUUAUACACCGUUUAACUUACAUUUAAUUAUAUCAUUAAGAUUAUUAAUUUUGAGACCUUUUGAUCACUAAUCAGGUGAUGUCAAAAAAAAUAUAAAAUUUAAUUUUUGGAUAUUUUCAAUAGCGUAGAUUAUUUCUAGCAAAGAGCUGAUCGUCGAUUUGAAUGUUUUAUCAUAAAAAAUAAUUUGACAGUACUAGGAGGCUACCUUACUGAGUAGGGAUCUAUUUGCACAAGCAGUUUUUAAGUCACGCCCUGCAUACUUUUUACACAAGCUAAAAUUUAAUUAUAAAAGUUUCAAAAUAAAGUUCUUAACUCUUAAAAGUGAUUUACAAUAAAAAAGACAGCUUUAAACAAAAAAUUAGAAUUUUGAGUUUUCAAAUUUGGCUAUUUUUGAAAAUUAUGAAUUGUUGAUUUUAACACCACUUGAUACAUAGGGAAUCAGUUUUCAAAAAUUGUGAAAUUUUAUGAGCAUACAUUCUAGAUGUUCUUAAUCAUAUUAAUUGGUUUAGGUCUUAAUUUUAGAUUCUCUAAAUUUGAAUUUACACUUGUGUAAAAAUUUGUGUAACUUACAGAGCACAUCUCUUGUACUUUCGAAAAUACGGAGACCUCCGUGCUUGUAAGUUGUUUUCGAUAAUAGGACAUCCAUUUCGAUGAUCGGCUCCGUUAGAUAUAAUCUAUCCUAUUGGAGCUAUUUAGAAACCAAAUUUUAUAAUUUUUUGACAUCAUUUACUGCGCGAUCAAAAGGUCUCAAAAAUGACUAUUUUAAUGGCUGAUGUGGCUCGUUUUUAAAUUCAACGGUGUGGAAAUAUCCAAAUUAUAUGAAAAUUUAAUAAAAAUUUUACUUAAUAUAAAUAUCAAGAUCAAUACUUCCAAUUUGAAAUUUGAAUCAUUUAUUACUAUUUUUUAUGAUAUUUUUAAUUUCAGCCAUUCAUUUUGAGGCUACUUAUUCACUAGACAAACGAAUUCAAAAAUUUAUGAAAUUUGGUUUCUAGAUAGUUCCAAUAGCAUAGAUCAUGUUUAAUGGAAUUGAUCACUGAAUCAGAUGUCCCAUCAUCGAAAACAACUUACAAGCACAGAGGCCUCCGUACUUUUGAAUGUAUAUGAGCUAGCUCGUUACUUACAUAAAUGUUACCUGAUCUCUAUACUCUCUCUCUCUCUCUCUUUCUAUAUAUAAAGAGAGAGAGAAAGAGGAGAGGGAGUGAGACCAUUGCAAGACUACCAUCGUAAUAAAUAGCUCGAUUUACUAUCAAUUUAUUUUCGAUAAUAGAGUUUUCAAAUCGUCGAUCGGCAUCAUUGAAAAUAAUUUAGAUCAUUUAAAUUAUUUAAAAACUAAAUUUUAUACUUUUUUGCUUUUAUUAAUUGAACGAUCAAAAGAUCACAAAAUUUUUAAUUUUAAUAGCUGAUACGAUGCGCUUGCUCGUUUAGAGUUGAUGUAGCGUAUUUGAAGUAUUUGGUAAAUAAAUUUUGCUAUUUUUUGAUAUUAUUUAUCUAGUGAUCAAAAGUGUUCAAGUCUAACGGAGCCGUUCAUCGAUUCGAAAGAUCCAUCGUAGAAAACGGCUUAAGAGCACGGAGGCCUCCGUGCUCCUAAUAUCACACAAGACCUGUCAUAUAUAAAUACAUAUAUAUAUAUAUAGAGAGAGAGAGUUGAGCUGCAAUACUAUUAAUAGUAUUUGAGCUUUUUUACUAUCGAUUUUUUAGCCAUUAGAUCUAUAUUUUAAUUAAUUCCACUAUUUAGAUCAUACUAUUCAACCAACCACCGCUAAACCCUAGGGGACCACUAUUAUCCUAAUCCCACAAUUUUUCAUCCAACGAUGAAAAAUUCGAUAGCAAAAGAGCCCAUAUAGUAUUCUAGCUCAAUUAUAUAUAUAUAUAUAUAUAUAUAAUUGAGCUCCUAUGCUUUUAAAAGUACCAAGUCAUUGGUACUUGUAAGUUUUCGGCUCUUGGAUUAAGGAAUGUGCGGUUAGGAUGAUGUGGUUGGGUGAAUAGUAUAAUCUAACGGGUAAAAAUGAUCAAAGGCGUAGAUCCAUCGGUAAAAAAUUUACAAGCACCAAAUACUUGUGCUUUUACAAGUACCAUAGCCGGACUCUAUAUAUAUAUAUAUAUAUAUAUAUAUAAUUACAUAUAUAUUAUAUAUAUAUAUAGUUGGGCUGGUAUGCUUAUGGAAGCACGGAGCCCUCCGUGUUCCAAGUUGUUUUCGAUGUUCGGACUUUCGAAUCGACGGAUCGGCUCCGUUAAGUUGAUCUAGAGUAUUUGAAGUACCUAGAAAAUAAAUUUUGUGAUUUUUCGAUAUCAUUUGCCUAAUGAUCGAAGGCUCCAAAAUCAAUAUUUUAAUGGCCGUGGUGAGCCGGUUGCAAGUUUAACGGUGUAGAAAUAUCUAAAUCAUAUGAAAUUUUGAUAAAAAAUUCUUUAUACUAUAUAAAACAAGAUCAAUAAUUUUGAUCUAAAAUUUUAUUGUAUAUCAUCAUAUUUUGUAAGAUUUUUAUUUUCAGCCGUUGAUUUGAGCCACUUCGAUCACUAGGCAAAUGAUAUAGAAAAAUCGCAAAAUUUAUUUUCUAGAUACUUCAAAUACUCUAGAUCAAGUCUAACGGAGCCGAUCAUCGAUUCGAAGUCCGAACAUCGAAAAUGAAGUGGAAGCACGGAGCCCUCCGUGCCUUCCAUAAGCAUUCUAGCCGCACUAUAUAUAUAUAUAUAUAUUAUAUAUAUAUUAUAUGAGAGAAUUCUGCUACUAUACUAUUAAUAGUAUCAAACCUUGGUACUUCGAGUUUUCGGCCGUCGAAUGAAAAGGAUGUGCGUUAAUGAUAGUGGUCCCUAGUUAAAUUGAUAGUGGUCCCCUAGGUUGAAUGUGUGGGUUGGUUUAAUAGUAUAAUCUAACAGGUGAAAAUGAUCAAAAGGUAGAUUAACGGUGAAAAUCAAUAGUAUAAGGGCUUGUACUAUCGAUAGUAUAGUAGCCGGACUCUAUAUUAUAUAUAUAUAUAUAUUAUAUAUAUAAUAUGCUCCUAUACUAUCAAUAGUACCAAGUCUUUGGUACUAUUGAGUUUUUGCGUUGGAUGAAAGGAUGUGCGGUUAGGAUGAGUGGUCCCUAGGUUGAGUGGGUGGUUGGUUUAAUAGUAUAAUCUAACGGGUGGAAAUGAUCACAUGGUAGAUCUAACGGUAGAAAACUCUAUAGUACCAAAGGCUUGGUACUAUCAAUAGUAUAAUAGCCGGACUCUUCUCUCUCUCUCUCUCUCUUCUCUCUCUCUCUCUAUAUUAUAUAUAUAUAUUAUAUAUAUAUUAUAUAUAUAGCUCGCCGGAAUACUAUCGAUAGUACUAAGCUAGCGUUUUGUAAUAUUAAGUUUUUCACUAUUUGAUUUACCUUUUACUAUUUUUAUCCGUUAGAUUAUACUAUUAAACCAAUAACUCACUCAACCUAUGAGGCCAUAUCAUCCUAAACGUAUAUUUUUUCGUCCAAUUGUCGAAAAUCUAAUAGCACCAAUAGCUUGAUGCUAUUAAUAGCAUUCCAGCCUAUUCUUAUAUAUAUAUACAGAGUUGAGCUAUUAAUACUAUCAAUAGCAAACGGGCUCCGUUGCCACUCAUUUGUUUUCGAUGAUAGAGCCUCCAAAUCGACGAUCGGCAUCAUUGAAAUAUGAUCUAUACCACUUGAAGUGUUUAGAUCAAAUUUCAAAUUUUUCAACAUCAUUUGCCUAAUAAUCAAAGGGUUUCAAAAUUUGUAAUUUAAUGGUCGAUAUGAGGCGUUUUCUUGUUUAACGGCAUAAAAAUAUCCAAAUCAAUUAAAUUUUUGUUAAAAAUUCUUUAAACUAUUUAAAACAAGAUCUAUACUCUUGAUCUUGAUUACAAGACUCUUAUCAUCAUUUUUUUAAGAAUAUUCAUUUUCAGCCGUUCUUUUGUGUCCCUCGAUGGAUAAAUGAACAAUAUAAAAAAUUGUGUGAAAUUUGAUUCUAAAUACUUCAAAUGGUAUAGAUCAUGUUGAACGGUGCGAUCAUCAAUUUGUAGGCUCUAUCAUCGAAAACAAAUGGGUGGCAAAAGAGUUCGUUUGCUAUCGAUAGAUCUGCCUCAACUAUAUAUAUAUAUAUAUAUAUAUAUAUAUAUAUAUAACAAUUAACAACUAUGAAAGUUCAAAUAUCUGCCUCAAAGAAUUCGAAAGAUGCAUGCUAUUGCGGAAAUAAGUGACAAUAAUUUUGUCGCCACUUUCGGCAUUUAAUGGCGACAUUUGAUAAAUUCGAUGGUAACUAUUUUUGUCACAUGUAGUGAGAAAAUUUCUUAAGGGAUUUAAGUAACCAAGAGUAAUUUUUCGUAUUCAGUUGGUGCGAAGCAGUUUUCAAUUGGUAUGUUAUCUUCUCAAUGAAGAUAUAUACAAGUCAAGAAAAGAUCACUCGGAUUUUAGCAGGCCAUAAUGUAGAAAGAUACACACUUUUUAAUUGGUGUUGAUUGAGUACUGAUGUAUCCUUUUGAGAGGAUUUGGGCUCAAAUUAUUAUUUUUAUCCCUUUAGUCAUAAUCAAUUUGAUGUUGUUUGAUUUGAUUAAUUUGACGAUCGGAACAGUUGAAAAUAUUUUAGAGUAUUUAAAGUGAGUAGAAACUAAUUUUUUUAGAAUUUCUCAAUUUAUGCAUUCUGCUCUAUAUCACGCUGUCUUAAAUUUGAUUAUUUUACAGAUUGAUUAGAUGUAACUUGGCCUCUUGACGCAGGCCUAAUUAAGGCACGUUGAAACGGAAGAAGUAUAAGGACAGAAUGAGAGAGAUUUAUGCGAAAAAACCAAUUCUUUCACAAAGACAAAAAUAUUAUCAAUUUAUUCUCAAAACUUUUAUUACAUUAACUGAGUGCCAUGUCUAUAUAUAUAGGCGAUACUCCAAUCCUACUAGAUAAAAUAAUAAAUUCUAAUAUAUUUUUAAAUCUAAUCAGAUUACAAAUAAUCAAAUAAUUGGAUCAAAAUAAAAAAAAAUAUAAUUUUUUUUUGGAAAUAAUCUAAAAAUGCCAGAAUGCAUGGCUUUGCCAUUCGACAUGUAGAUCUUAAAAAAUAUAUUCCAAAUUAGGAUUGCACGCUGAAAUCGAAUAUUCAAGCGAAAGUUUUAGCCGUUUAAAGAUAUCUAGGCUCAGUUUGGUUAAGUCGUGUUUUCUCAUAAACUCUAAUACUAAAUUAGCCGCAUCACCUCUAUACUUAAAACAUGCUACUCUUCUAUACAUGUGUAGAGUUUAUAGCACUACAAGCCUCUUCCGAUAUAUAUAUAUAUAUAUAUGACACUUUACGGAAUACAUUUAAGUAGCUAGGAUGGGAUGGAGGGCUGAGGGAGGAAAGGGUCGCGUUGGGGGACGAGUAGGGCGGGAUUGAAGGCGGAGAGUAGGAUGAGGGCGACAGUGACGAGGGCAGAGACGAGGGACAAGACGAGCAUUAUUGCGUUCGGUACACCGCCUUUCACCUCUUGUGCGUACUUCUCGGCCGCCAGUGCCAGCACCGUCAGUGGAAAAGAGUACGCCCACCAUGCCAGACUGAAGGUCCUCAUUGAUCGCCAAAAUAGCAUCGGUCGUGAGACCUGCAUAAAUAAUUGUGUUUAUUAGGUCAAUGUACAUACAUUAGGUCAAUGUGCAUAUAUUAUUGUGUUCACUUUUGUGACGACGGCAGAGUGCGACUCUUCUCUACAAAAAUUUUUUGAGACUGUGGUGAGCCACGUAAUUCAGUUCUUGCAUUAAUUUCUUUCUGUCUAAAAGUUUUUUGUCAAAAUCAUAACACCUUAUUAAAUAGCAGAUUUAGAAAACAUCACUAGAGAAAAAUGAGGUGGUCCUUAUUCAAGUUGUUUUUUUUUUUUGGGUGGGGCCGGAUGGAUGUAUGCAUGCAUUUCUCAACAUGCAAUUAAUGGGCGAAUUUCUUUGCCUAUAUAAAACAUAUAUCUCAUAAUAUUAAUAGAUAUAUUAAAAUCAAAAUAUAACUCAUUAAUGCUUCAACUACUAAUUAUUGAGACUAAUUGAUUCCUUAUUAGUAACUAGUUUCGCACUUAAAAAUUUUAUUCAUAUAUUCCUUAGAUAAUGUACGUAGAUAAUAGUUAUCAUAUUAAUAGAUUUUGAUUUUGAAAUUUUAAUAGCCAAAUAGCAGGUGCAAACAUAUGAAGUGUACAUCUAUAGACACCACGUGGAGGCAAUAAUUCUCAUGCAUUGAUGGAUUCAUAUAUAAGCAAGUUAUUGCGUGCGCAAACACGACUUAAAUCAUAUUUAAUCAUAAUCAAUUUGGAUACCCUCUUCCCAGAAAAUCAAAAGAUUCUGGAAAUAAAUAAUCACGUUUAUUUUUUUAAAAUUAUUUUUGUAUAUAUAUAUAUAUAUAUAUAUAGAGUUGAGCUAUGAUACUUUUACAAGUAUCACCAUCAUUGUGCUAUUAGGUUUUAAGCCAUUGGAUCUACUUUUUGAUUAUUAAUAGUCCUUGGAUUAAACACUAUUUCACCUACCACCACCUACCACCAUCAUCUCAACCUCACAUCUCUCCAUCCAAGGGCUAAAAACACACAAGUAUCACCCCCAUGAUACUUUUACAAGUAUUCUAGCCCUACUCUCUCUCUCUCUCUCUCUCUCUCUCUCUCUCUCUCUCUCUCUCUCUCUCUCUCUCUCUAUAUAUAUAUAUAUAUAUAUAUAUAUAGCUAGGUUGUUAUACUAUCAAUAGCACGAAGAUCUCCGUGCUAUCAAUUUAGUUAUUUUUGAUGAUACGGUUUUCAAAGUGAUGAUCGGUUUUCUUAAACACCAUCUAUGCUAUUCAAAAUAUUUAGAAACCAAAUUUUAUAUUUUUUUCGAUAUUAUUUAACAAUUUUAAUGGCCGAUGUAAUGCGUUUAUAAAUUUAACGGUAUAAAACAAUUCAAAUCUAAAGAAAUUUUUAUAGAAAAUUCUCUUCACUAUUUACAGUAAGAUCAGUAUCUCUGAUUUUAAAUUUAAAUUUUUUAUCAUUAUUUUUUAUGAGAUUCUUAGUUUCAGCCGUUCAUUUUUAGACUACUCGUUUGAUAAGUAAAUGAUGUUGAAAAAUUAUAAAAUUUAGUUUUAUAAUAUUUUCAAUAGAGUAAAUCAAGUCUAGCAGAGCCGAUCGAUCGUCAAUUUGAAAGCUGCGUUAUUAUUAUUAUUAUUUUUGAAAAAUAGGUAAUAUGCUACCCGCUUCAUUUAUUUUAUUUAGAAAUAAAUUAACUUAGCUGAAACUAUGAAUCAAGUAGGAUUCGAACUUGGAAUCUCAGAUACCAACCACCAAUCCCUUUGCCACAUGCUCUAGGGACAGUUGGUGAAAGAUGCAUUAUUAAAAAUAAUUUAGUAGCACGAACACCUCUAUACUACUGAUAUAGUAUACCAGCUAUAUUUUCUCUCUCUCUUUAAAAUAUACACAACUACAUGAUAUCACUUACACUGAUGUGUAUUUCGAGAUGUGAAAGUAAACAAUCAUGUUUACUUUUAAAAAUAUUCUAACUAACCUAAUUAUUUGUAUAUUUAGAGCAAUAUAUGAUGUGGUAUACAUUGACCAUCUCUUACGCAGGUGAUAAAAGGCUUAAAUUGUCGGUAUCCAAAAUCCCUGAUUAGUUGAGCUAAGUUAUUUAAUGGUUGAUAUCUAAAAUUCCAAAUUCAAAAUUUAAUUAACCUAAUUAACUUUAUUUCUUAAAUAAAAAAAAACACAGGCCUAAAAAAUAGAGAAAAAAAAAAAGACAAAGAACAUGAUGUCACAAAAAAACAAAAGAAGCUACGUACUUCCCCCUUGUGCACGUGUUUUUAUUUUUAUUUUUUAUUUUUUUCUUUUUGGUCUAAAUAUUAAUUUGACAGAUAAUUUUGUUUUUGUUUUUUUGUUUUCGUGGUCUAAACUUUUGACAAAUAAUUUUGCCUUUUUCUUAGAACCUGGACUGCUGUUUUCCUACGCAAGCUAGCUGGAGACCUCCUUUGACAAAUUAAGAAGAAUCCUAAAACCUACAUUAUUUUGGCCUCUCCUUGAUAUUUGCAUUUUAAUUAAUGGUUUAAAUUUUCAUAUAUUUUUUUUACCGUACACCUCUUUUGUCAUCUUUGUAAUUAGCAGUGCACAAUGACGUAUUUGUUUCUUACUAGACCACUCUUUUGAAUAAAAGAUGAAAAAUCAUAUAUAUGUUACUCGCGCGUAUUUGGUGCUUCUGUAUAUUCGUGCACCAUAUAUCUAUACUAAUAUAUUAACUACUACAAAUUCAUGAUUUAGCGGCAUUUACUCUGCAGCAUUUAUUUAAAUAAUGCUAAUUAAUAUAUUUAACAGCAUUACUUGAUAAGUGCCGCUAAAUUUAAUAAUUUAGCAGUAAUUUACUGUUAAUGUUGCAAAAUAAAAUAAAUUAGCAGUAUAAAUUAGUGAAUGCCGCCGAAGUUUUCAGCAUUUUAUAAAAAAUGAUACUAAAUAUAAUAAAGUAGUAGCACUUAUUGCUAAAUGGCGCAAUAUUUGCUCCGCGAUAUUUAUUUAAAUCAUGUCAAUUAAUAUAUUUAGCAACAUUACUUGAUAAUUGCCGCUAGAUUUAAUUAUUUAGCAGCAAUUUGCUAUUAAUGUUGUAAAAUAGGAUAAAUUAGCAGCAUAAAUUAGCGAAUGCCGCUAAAUAUAAUAAACUAACGGCAUUUGUUACUAAAUAUCAUUACUAAUUAAUAUAUAAUUAUUAAUAAUUCCUUUUUUAUUUAGAAUAAAAAAUUUUAAAAUUAAAGUUUAAAAGUUGAAACAUAUAAGUUUAAAAAUUAAACUUAUAAUUUAAAAUUUAAAAUUCUAAAAUUUAUAUUUUAAAUUUUAAAUUCUAAAAUUAUUAAUUUUAAAAUUUUAAAAUUUUAAAUUUAUUUUAAAUUUUAAAUUUUAAAUUUAAAACUAUUAAUUUUGAAACUUAAAAUUUCAUAUUUCAAAAUUUAAAAUUUAAAUUUAGUAUCUAAAUUUUAAAAUUUUAAAAUUUUAAAAUUUUAAAAUUUUAAAACAGAAGACUUAAAAUAUAAAAAAUUAAAAUAUACAUAACUAAUAGUCGCUAGAGUAAGUGGCAAAGGAUUUGGUUGUUGGUAUUCGAGGUCUCAAGUUCAAAUCCUAGUUGAUUCACAAUUUUAGUAAAAUUUAAGACAAAAACAAAUAAAUGAAGCGAGUAGCAUCUCAAAAAAAUUAAAAUUUUAAUUCUAAAAUUUUAAAAUUUUAAUUCUAAAAUCAGAUAUUUGUAUUAGCGGUAUUAUAUUUAUGUGCCUCUAAUAAAUAAUUUAAAAUUAGCAUUUAAUCCCUUUUAGUGGCAUAUUCCUAAUGACACUAAUUAAUUUAUAUUGGCGGCAUUUAUAAUUAAUAUUGCUAAUACUUUUAGCAACAUUGGCAUAGACAGCAUUUGUGUCAUAUGCUGCUAAAAUUUUUAACAAUAUUUGUUGAUCAUUUAGCAGCAUAAAUAAAUGUCACUAAUGCCUAAUUAAUUUUCUAGUAGUGAUAUAUCAUAAUUUGCUUUUCAGGAGAUUACCAAUCGCUGAGACUACGGUUCAAUCGACGAGAAAUUAUUCUUAAAUCUUGGGAUAUUACAAUAUAUGUCAUUUUCUACCGCUUUGGUUUUUAAAAAUUUUUUAAAAAAUUCUUAUUUUUAACUUAAAAAGGACGUAAAGUAAUUUUUCAGCCGGAAUUGAAUGUGUCACGUACCAGGCAAAGGAAGAGGAAGAAUGAGAGGAAGAAGAGCAUCUUCGCGGCGGUGUCGAAGCCACCGCUGCCGGAGAUGGCGGCCCAGGCAACGCUGGCGGUGGCGGGGGCGGCGAAGAAUAAGAAGAACACCGGGCGGAGCAGUGCCGGGAGGAGGCUCUCGCUCCCCGCGAGGCGUUGGUACAGCGUCACGAAAAGUACGAGGUAGUGGGCCAAGCCCACCGUAAACAUGCACGUCGCAAUCUCCUUCAAGUCCGUGUCCGUCGUCGCCGCUGCCGCCGCCGCCGCCAUGUUCGCGAUCACCGUCAUCUGGCUCGUCGGGUUCGCCACCGCCGACAGGCAGUACCUCCGGCCCCUUAUAAACCACUGCCCGUACACUUUCACGUCCAGCACCAGAAUUGGGACCGCAAACNACUCUUAGAUAUUUAUUUGCAUUCAUUAAUUAUUAUUUUGUUGUUCUCUUGAAUGCUGCUGUCAUAAUACUAGUAUUUUCUAACGGUUUAAGUUAUUAAAAAGAAAAUUGGUAGAAAUGUACAAAACAUAAUUAAAUUAUAAAUUAUUUUGAUUUGGUUAUUUAAUUUUUUAAAAAUUUGAUUUCAGUAUAUAAUCUUUCUGUCUGUUUGUUUUGAAUCAGUCGCGACAUUUUAAGCAUAAAGUUUAUUCAUUAAAAUGUAAAAAUAAACAACACAUUUAAAUUUUAAAGUCAAAGUGUCAAUCACUGGCUCAAAAUAAAAUGUAUGCAUGCAUCUAUGUAUAGAGAGAUAAACAGUUAUUUUAUAUGUACUACAUACCAGAGGACGUGGUACGCGGGGCUCUCGGGACGGAGGAAGGGCGAGGAGGCGCACUGGAGGAGGAGGAGCGCGGAGGCCCAUGGGGCGAAGAGGUAGUUGACGCCGAUGUGGUGGCCGAGCUCGGCCUUAAAGCACUCGAAGCGGCAGGUGCAGCGAAUUGCGUAAAGAGCACAAAGCACGACGAGGGACGACAGUGCGAAGGACCAGAGAACGUCGAAGGCGGCGACGGGGAGGAGGUGGAGGAUAAAGUGGAGCGCCCGAGGGUCGGCGGCGGAGAGGGUCUUCCAUAGUAGGGCUUGGCCGCAGAGGGAAAGGCUUAUGCGAAAGUAACCCGCGUGGAAUCUCGUUAAAACUGACAGCUUCUGCAUAAGUGCUUUUUGAACAUGUUCUUCUCCGGGGGGAUGCAGAUUUUCUGAAUAUCGAUGCUCCAUUAGUUACUUGCUAGAGAGAGAAUGAAGUAAAGAGAGAGAAUGAAGUAAGGGGAUAGCAUACAAUAUUGGUUGUUGGUAAGUUCUAUUACUUAUUUGCAUGUAUUUAUAGAGAGGGGGGAGAGAGAGAGAGAGAGAGUAUAUUAGGUGGAACACACAAUUAAAAAUUGAAUUGAGAACACUGAAAGCAGGGGCGGAGCCAUUGGGGGCCACAGUGGUCAUGGCCCCCCUAUAUCUUUGAAAAUUACAUAUUAGUCCUUUAUAAUAAAAAAAUAAAAUAUUAUAAAUUUUAAUUUUAAGGGGCCAAAUUAAUAUUUUUAAUAAAAUUUGUGUCUUAAUUUUUUUUCAAGUUUUUUGGUUCUUUUUCUUCAACUAUUACAGUCUUAUUCCUCUUUAAGCAUUUUGUCGUUAUUAGUGAAUCUGACAAUUUUUUUUUUUUUCACUAUUCGUGGUCGAAUUUUUCUCCUAUCAAAAUUUAAAUCUUGGCCCUCCCGAAUCUUAAUAUCUCGCUUAAAUUUGUCCCUGAGUGAAAGUGAUGCAAAGGUCAAACUAUGUAUUCAAAUGCAUCAAUGAGGUUUCUAUGAGAAAUAUGUAACAUUCCAAUCAAAUUUUGAUAGUUUUGGUUGAAAAGUUGAAUUAAUUAAACAUAUAUAUAUAUAUAUAUAUAUAUAUAUAUAUAUAUAUAGUAGAGGUAUUAUACUAUCGGAAGUAUAAAAAAGUUGGUGCUUUCGAUUUUUUAGCCCUUAGAUGAACCCCAUUGAUCAUUUCUAACCAUUGGAUUAAUAUUAUUAACCAAUGGGGACCACUCAACCCUAGGGGGAUCACUCAACCCUAAAGGGACCGCUAUAAUCCCAAUCGUAGAAUUUUUGAUCCAAGGGCUAAAAAAUCAGAAGCACCAACUACUUUAUGCUUCCAAUAACAUAGUAGCUCUACACUAUAUAUAUAUAUAGUCUAGUAUUAUACUAUCGAUAAUACUAAGCACUUGAUGCUAUCGAGUUUUUCGCCAUUAGAUCUACCUCUUCAAUUAUUUCCACCCAUUAAAUCAUACUAUUCAACCAAUCACCUACUCAACCCAUGGAGCCACUAUCAUCUUAACGUAUAUACAAUUAGGCUACUAUACUAUUAAUAUCACCAAACGCUUANGAGUAGAUCUAACGGUAAAAAACUUAUAAGUACCAAGUGCUUGGUGCUUUUACAAGCACCAUAGUUGGACUCUAUAUAUAUAUAUAUAUAUAUAUAUAUAUAUAUCAGUUUGAAAAAAUGUCUUACAUACCUUUCAAUAUUAAAUAUAACACACAUGUUCUUAUUCUAUUCAACGCUCUCUUUUAUGUCUGAACUCGAAGUUUUUUUAAUAGGCCAACACAUAUAAAUUAAUUGAAAUAAGAGUGUUAAAUAAUUUAGCUGCAUGCCAAAAAAAAUUAGUAGUCAUCACAAAAGGAUAAGUAGCAAUGUUGUGACGGCCCAAUUUUCCAUAGGGUCACCCAUCCUAGGACUACUCCCGUCCUGGCACGGGUCUGACAAACGUGUUAUGAACAUAAGUAUUUAAAACGUCGUUUUUUGGCAACUUAAGCUUUUUAAGCCUCGCCCAAACUCAAAACAUGAAUAUUUUAGAACUCCGUUACAAUGAUUGUUCUACAUUAUAAACAGCAAGGAUUCUAACAGGGAGCUCAAAUUCAGAACUUAAUUCUUUCUUUGAUAUUAUGUUAAAUAAUAUCAAAUAAUUAAUUUCUCAAGAAACUUAAAGCUGUCAGAAAAUAAUAUUUUAUUAUUUUAUAUAUGUGUUCAAUAUUUAUACGCAAUCAAUCUUCUUGGACCAGCUUUUGAUGAGUUGGCAAAUUGGCUUAGGGUGUGUUUGGUUCCACGUAAAAUUGUGAAAAAAAAAUUUCACUGGAAAAAUUUUUUUUGGAGGAAAACAAAUUUUACGUUCUUUAAUGUUUGGUUUGUAGGAAAGGAAAAAUAGUUUUCUGUCAUGCCCCGGAUUACUCGUUUCCCCGGGCACGCCAACAAAUCUGCCAUAUACAAAAGAAUUUUCCCUGUAUUCGAAGCGAUAGCUGUACCUGUUAUCAAACAAUACUACAACUAGUAGUAUAGAGCUGCUAGAAGAAAUAAGAUAAUAUAUAUAUAUAUAAACAAAAGGGGGUAACUAUACAUACAAGCAUCCUGAUAACCAAAACACUCGCUCUAGCGAGAUACAACAUCAGUAUGUAUAAUAAUCCAAAAACUACAACUACCUGUAGCUGGUACUCCUCUAGCUCUGCAACUCAUCAGGAAGGGCUCUAACUCGCAACACCCUUUCCACGAUCAGACUCAGCAGCAAUAGCAGCCGAAGAAGAAGGCUCUGCAAAAGAUUUCAACAAAUAGGAGGGAGAACUAUUGCAAAAAGAAGUAGUCCUCAGUGGGUACCGUUACCGACCUCAACGGCUCACUCACUAAGUCUACAGAUGUAAACAAGUAUAGAAAGAAAACUGGAAUAAAUCUACAGCUAUAUGCACCUAUACUAUCUCGGUUUAAUACCAACAAUUUGUAGAACACUGGAAAUACAGACCCAAUCUCAUUAGGGAGAGUAAACAUACCCGCCCCAGGGACUGUGAACACACCCAUCCUGCUUGUCGAAGCUACACUAUCUGACACCAAACCAGGUCGUCAGUGGAAAGCAAGUCCAAUCAGGACAAAACGACACCAAUGCAAACGCACAAAGCCCGACUCCGGAGUGGCACUCGUGGCCGCUACCCAACCGAGUAUGCAAGCGUGUCUCUGUCGAGCUCAAUCAGCCUCUCACAGGCUAUAAUCAAGUAAACAGGAUCUAACUGGUCUAACAACCAAAACAUACGUGCCCUUGGCACAAUCUGAUGCAAAAACAGUAAUCUGGCCCACCGUCAACCCCAAAGGCACCUGACAAUCUGGAACAGUCUAAACAACACUGGAAAAAUAAGCUCGGCAUCCCAGCACGAGCGUAAUAUUAUUCUACACUAUUCUGGGUAUCCACCGCCCACAAACUGCGGUGAUAUAAAUAAACUACGGCUCAUAGAGCUAAAUCUGGUUGUUUUAACAUAUGACAGUGUAGAAGCGCCAGUUUUCUCCUAAAUCAAAUUCAAGUCGAACAUGUAUUAUUUAACUAAUAUUCUAAGCUCCAAUUCAGAUUUUAGAAACACAAUAAAUCGAUGAAUUGAGCAAUGAAACAUGACAAUAUCCACGAAUACAUGCUAACAAUAGAACUUAGGAGGAAAUCCGCAAAAAUCCGGUAAGCAUCACUUUGACCCACCUCGAAAAGCUAAUCCAGCCAUGGCAAGAAGUCGAAAGGAGAGGAAAACACGCGUUCACCCGGCCUCCAACGGCGUAAUAGCGAUGUCCACACGCUUGAACGGCUCUCCGAAACGACGACGAAAAUCUCCCGAGCUCGAGCUCUUCACCGUGCACACGAGCUAAAUUAAAGAGAGAUAGAGAGAAAAAGCUAAUUAACUUCACUCCCUCCUCUCCACCUCUAAUUAAAGCGGUGGGGAUAAGGAUGGGAAAGCACGUGGACUCCGCUACUUAGUUAAAAAAAAAUUGCCAACAAGCCCCCCCUAUAACUAAGUAUUCCACUUUAGUCCUCUAUAAUAUAAAUCUUAAGUUUCAAAGUCCGUUUUUACGUCUAUUUUGAGCAAACGUCACCAACUCAAUCAAGCAUAAAUUUAUACUGUAACCUUGACAAUUUGUUAUGGUUCAGUAUAUCACAUCCUCCCGUUCUAAAAAAAAGUUUCGUCCUCGAAACUUAAAAUAUACCUCAAUCCUGAGUUUCGAACAAGUAAGAGUAGGACUCUCACAUCACCGUCUCUGGCUCCCAGGUCGCCUCACGCUCCUCGUGAUGACUCCACUGCACUUUUACAUAAGGAAUGACCCGAUUGUUAAAUUCCUUCGUUUCACGAGCCAAAAUUCGCACCGGUCGCUCCUCAUAUCUCAAGUCCUUGCCAAGCUCUAGCGGAGUGAAGUCUAUCACGUGAGAUGGAUCGAACACAUAUCUCCUCAGUGUUGAGACGUGAAAAACAUCAUGGAUACCGGCCAGUCGAGGGGGUAAAGUAAUCCUGUAAGCAACUGGCCCAACUCGCUCCAAUAUCUCAAAAGGGCCUAUAAAGCGUGGACUGUGCUUUUCACGUAUUUCGAAUCUACGAAUCCCUUGGAACGGCGAGACUUUGAGAAAACAUGAUUUCCAAUUUGGAACUCUUAAGUCUCGUCUCCUGGUGUCGGCGUAGCUCUUCUGGCGGCUCUGAGCUGUCAAAAGGUAUCGUCGCAUUGCUUUAACCUUUUCUUCAGCCUCAAUCAGAAUCUCAGGCCUCAAAGUCUUUCUUUCACCCACAUCACUCCAAUACAAAGGGGAUGGACACUUGCGUCCAUACAACGCUUCAAACGGAGCAAUCUGAAUGUUCGCUUGAUAGCUGUUGUUGUACGCAAACUCAGCCAGUCUCAAAUGUCGAUGCCACCCUACUCUAAAGUUCAGGACACAUGCUCUCAGCAUGUGCUCCAAAGUCUGAAUGGUCCGCUCAGACUGACCAUCCGUCUGUGGGUGAAAUGUCGUGCUGAAAUGCAACUGUGUACCCAGGGCUGUCUGAAGACUCCUCAAAAAGUGCAAAACAAAUCUCGGGUCUCUGUCUGAUACAAUCGAGAUUGGCACACCAUGCAACCUAACAGUCUCAUCCAGAUAUAGCUGAGCAAGCCUCUCCCUGGACCAGGUGGUCUGUACUGGUAAGAAGUGAGCAGACUUAGUCAGUCUGUCCACUAUCACCCAAAUCGCAUCGAACCCACCUUGAGCUCUAGGCAAUCUUAUGAUAAAGUCCAUCGUGAUCUGCUCUCAUUUCCACUCGGGCACUGACAGACUCUGAAGCUUGCCUGCAGGUAUCUGGUGCUCUGCCUUUACCUGUUGGCAAGUCAAACACUGAGCUACAAAUUUGCCAAUGUCUCUCUUCAUUUCAUUCCACCAGAAGUGUGCCUUCAAAUCCUUAUACAUCUUGGUUCCACCAGGGUGAACCGUAUAAGGUGAAUAAUGAGCCUCUUUCAAAAUCUCUUCUCAGAUCUCUAAAUCCAUGGCACACACAGUCGGUCUCUGUACCGCAGUACUCCCGAACUGUCCAUAACAAAACUCUCUGCCUGUCCCCUCUCCAACUGCUCUCUAAUCCUCAACAAAUGCGGGUCUCCACUCUGUUUCUCUCGCAUCCUAUCCAACAGAGUGGGCUGCAAAACUAUAGACAUCAUUCUUGCAGUAUACCCAGGGGACACAAUCUCGAGCCUCAACCGCUGCAGCUCCUCGAGUAACGGCCUCUGCUAAGUAAUCAACAUACUCAAGCUCUGCACUGACUUCCUGCUCAACGGAUCUGCCACCAUAUUCGCCUUAUCGGGAUGAUACUGAAUACUAAUAUCAUAAUCCUUCAGUAACUCCAACCACCGGCGUUGCCUUAGAUUCAAUUCCUUCUGGGUGAACAAAUACUUGAGACUUUUAUGAUCGGUGAAAACCUCGCAGUGCUCGUCAUACAAGUAAUGCUGCGACAACUUCAAGGCAGAAACUACCGCAGCAAGCUCCAAGUCAUACGUAGGGUAAUUCUUCUCGUAAUCCUUUAACUGCCGUGAAGUAUAAGCAAUUACCCUACCAUGCUGUAUUAGCACAGAGCCCAACCCACUGUGCGAUGCAUCACUGUAGAUCACAAAUCCUUCCCCCAUCACUGGAAGGGCAAGGAUAGGAGCUGACAUCAACCUCUGUCUCAGCUCAUCGAAGCUCCUCUGACAAUCCUCACUCCAGAUGAAACUAAUCCCCUUUCGAGUCAAUCGAGUGAGGGGUGUUGAAAGCUUCGCAAAGCCUUCACAAACCGACGGUAAUAUCCUGCCAGUCCCAGGAAACUCCUCACCUCAGUCACCGUCGUCGGUCUGGGCCAAUCCCGAAUAGCAUCAAUCUUCUUCGGGUCCACUGCCACUCCAACUGCAGAGAUCACGUGGCCCAAGAAAGCAACCUUCCGCAACCAGAACUCGCACUUCUUCAACUUGGCAUACAACUUCUUCUCUUGCAGAAGUUGCAGCACAAUCCCCAAGUGCUCAUCAUGCUAGGUGUCGCUCCGGGAGUAUAUCAAGAUAUCAUCGAUGAAGACUACCACAAAUCUAUCCAAGUAUGGCUUGAACACUCUGUUCAUCAAAUCCAUAAAUGCGACAGGGGCAUUGGUCAAUCCAAAAGGCAUCACUGUAAACUCAUAAUGCCCAUACUGAGUCCAGAAAGUCGUCUUGGGAACAUCCUCGGCUCUCACCCUUAACUGGUGGUAACUUGACUGGAGAUCAAUCUUCGAGAAGACACAAGAUCCUUGCAGCUGAUCAAACAGAUUAUCAAUGCGCGGCAAAGGAUACUUGUUCUUGAUGGUCACUUUAUUCACCUUCCGGUAAUCCACACACAAUCUAAGUGAACCAUCCUUCUUCUUCACAAAUAACAUCGGCGCUCCCCAAGGCAACACACUGGGUCUCACAUACCCCAUAUCCAUUAGAUCUUGAAGCUGCACUUUUAACUCUCUCAGCUCUGCCGGUGCCAUCCAAUAAGGUACCUUCGAGAUUGGUGCAGCUCCAGAAACUACAUCAAUCACAAACUCAAUCUCCCUCUCCGGCGGCAUCGUCGUCAACUCCGGAGGAAAUACAUUCGGAAAAUCGCAGACUACAGGGAUAUCCUUGAGUCCCGGUACCGCCGUAGGCACCUUUACCACCAUAGCCAGAAAAGCGAUGCAUCCUCUACUCAUCAGCUGUCGAGCCCUCGCCGACGAAAUCCAGGUGGCACACAAUGUACUCCUGCAGCCUCUAAAAGUGAACUCCUCCUGGCCUGGCUAGCGGAAUAUCACCGUCCUCGAUCCACAAUUAAUAGUAGCAUAAUACCGCACUAGCCAAUCCAUGCCGAGCACAACGUCCAAGUCCUACAGCUGCCCUAACACCAAUAGGUCUGCGGGCAUGAUCCACGAAUCUAACUGCACUGGACACGACCCGGCAACAAUAUUUAUUAUUAUAAUAUUUUUUUGGCCGUACACCCUCGCUAAAUUACCUAUUUAUAGGUGAUUAAUUAGGGCUAAAUCUCAAUCCUACUCUAACUAGUAUUAGAGUAUAAUUAAUCCGAAAAUCAAAUCCAACCGAAUCCGCUUAAUCUGACGAUACAAAUAAAUCAAAAAUAUUUAAUAACGGGUUUAUCACAAAACUACAAUCAUGGCCACAUAUUUAAAUUCUAAUUUAAAUUAAUUACAUACGGGUAUUAUGUAACACCCCGUAGUUUUGAAGCUUUUGUUUUGACUCCUAUUCAUUUUAAGUUUGGACCUUUUUGUGAUUUCCAAUCUUUAAGGGACUCGGCGGCAUUUUGUUAUUUUAUUAGUAUCUAACUUAAUUAAUUUUUUCCCUAGCCAACCCUCACCCGAUCCUUUUCUUUUCUUUUCUCCCUCACGACUCCUCUCUUUCUCACUCGACCAUCUCUCCCCCUCACCGCAACCAUACGACCUCGGCCGUUCUGCACGUGCGCGCGCGACGUCGUCUGAUCGCCGCGGUCAUCCGUAUUCGCAUUCAUCGCCGCCGUAAUCCUCAUCCAUUGAUAUUUUGAUUCGUCAUCGUUUUUCCGCCUUCAAGGUCUUUUUCUUUUUAUUUCCUUACAUUUAUUCUUGACAAGAUCUAAUUCCUUAUUCAUUGUUGUAUGAUUAUUUUGAAUACUUAUAUCUUAAUGUUUGGGAUUAUAAACCAUUAGAAAUCUGAUUCGUUGUGAUCUUUUUCUUGUCUGUUGAACUGUCAAAUUUUAUAUCUCACAUCCUCCAUAAAAUUUAGUUGUGUAAACUUCGCACAUUCUACACAUAUUUGAAAUGCCCAUUAUAUGUUCGAUGAAACGCCUUUGAGAGGGCGAAUUUCGUUUUGUUUCUAAUUUCGAUCUCAUCUAAUUGUAAUUUGCCUAUUAAUAUUCCAACAUCUGAAAACUCACUGUUUGAGCAUUGAAAUCUUCGUUUAUUAUUUAAAUUUCCAUUCAUGUUAUCUUCUUGGAAUAAUUUAAAUUCUUCAAAACUCCCUCAUCCCUUUGAUCACUAUUUGAGGUUUGUCAAAUUUAUUAUUCUAAAUCCCUUUGUGCUCCGUCCCGACCUAUUUGCAUUCCAUUAUAUCCUCUUUGCAUGUUCAUUUUAGUUAGCUUAUAUAGAAUCGCAUGUCCCUAUUUUAUGUUCCGACGAUUGAUUUUCUGCACAGUUUUGACUGGAAAAUUUCUCUCUUUGAAGCUGCGUUAAGGUAAGCGACCGGACACCCGUUAGUUUUUGUAAGAUAAUUUAGGAAAAUAUUUUGAUUAUAUGAAAAUCUUAUUUUGUAGAAUUUAAAAUUAAGGGUUAAGCUUAUUAUUAAGUAUUUCUGUAAAUUGAUUUUCAACCGUGAUUGACAAGUCCUUUUAGCAAAAUAAACUUUUGAAAUUUGAUAAUCUGCUCUGUAAAUUAGUAACUGGAUACACUUUGAAUUAUGAUGUCUCUUGGUAUUCUGCUAUUCUUAUGUUGGCCAUGUCGACAUGUACUUUGUUAUAGAAGCAAGCUUCGUCUUCGUAUUGUGCCUUCGGGUGUCUGCGCCUAUCAGCGCCUCUGUUUUGUUUGCGCCUUCGGGUGCCUACGCCUAUCCGCGCCUUUGUUUUGUUGCACCUUCGGGUGCCUCUGUUUUGUUUACGCCUUCGGGUGUCUUUUGAUCUCGCAAACGGAUCAUAUGAUAUAGUUAGAGGCCUUCGGCUGUCUUUUUAUCUGCGUUCACUUGUUAUUUCUUCGCACCCACAUUUGUUAUUUACAGUAUCUUUAGACCAAAUUCUGUUUGCUUGGCAUAUUAAACUUUAGUUCUGCUUAUAUGAUAUUUCAUUUGACACUAGUUGGAACUGAACUGUUAGUUUCAUCUUUUGACUAUUUAGAUUUAAUCGAAAUUUUGUGAUUAUCUUUUGCAUGUUAUCUUUCUAAUUCUGUAGCCUUGCAUAUUUACUAAAUUAGUAGAUAUGCGGCGUCUGUUAUGCCUCGGGUUUGGGGCGUGACAUAUUACAUCUUACCCCCUUUAAAAAAAAUUUCGUCCCCGAAAUUUACUUAACAGAAUUUGGAAAGAGCUGAGGAUACUUGCUCCGUAUCUCCUCUUCCGGCUCCCACGUCGCCUCAUUCUCCGCGUGAUGCCUCCACAGCACACGUACCAGCUGAACCGUCCUUUUUCGCAAAACCUUUUCCCUUCGAUCCAAGAUCCAGAUAGGCUGCUCCACGUAUGAUAGGUCCUCUCUUAACUGAAUUGGAGAAUAGUCGAUGACGUGUUUUAGAUCUUGAACAUACUUUCGCAACAUCAACACAUGGAACACAUUAUGCACCCUAGCAAGAGAAGGCGGUAAUGCUACUCGGUACGCCACAUUGUUGACUCGUUCCAGUAUUUCAGAAGGUCCAAUGUAACGUGGAUUCAGCUUUCCUUGAAGCCCAAACCGUAUUACCCCCUUAGUUGGCGACACCUUCAGGAACACAUGAUCACCAACUGUGAAUUCUAACAUUCGCCGACUAUUAUCACUAUAGCUCUUCUGUCUAUUCUGUGCGGCUCGUAGACGUUCUCGCACAACCCGCACUUUUCAUUAGCUUGCUGGACCAGCUCAGGCCCUAGAAUCUGCCUCUCGCCAACAUCAUUCCAGUGGAUAGGCGAUCUACACUUUCUUCGAUAGAGAGCUUCAAAAGGGGGCAUCUGUAUGCUGGCUUGAUAACUAUUAUUGUACGCAAACUCCGCCAAUGGUAAGUGCCGGUCCCACGACCCACCCCAGUCAAUCACGCAUGCUCGCAACAUAUCUUCUAAGAUCUGUAUCGUGCGCUCUGACUAACCAUCGCUCUGCGGAUGAUAUGCCGUACUCAUAUCCAAGCGAGUCCCCAAAGCCUCAUGCAAGCUAUGCCAAAAUCGCGACACGAAUUGCGGAUCUCGAUCCGAAACGAUGGAUACCGGGACACCAUGUAGUCUCACCACAUCUUUAAUAUAUAAUUCCGCAAGUUUCUCCAAAGGAUAUGUCACCUUAAUAGGUAUGAAGUGCGCAGACUUAGUCAGCCGGUCGACGACCACCCAAAUCGCAUCGGACCCUGACUGUGUACGUGGUAACCCUACCACAAAAUCCAUAGUAAUCUUCUCCCAUUUCCACUCGGGUAUCGGCAGUGGCUGCAAUAAUCCCGCCGUCCUUUGGUGCUCAGCUUUGGCCCGCUGGCAUACAAGACACUGUGAAACAAAUCGAGCAAUGUCUCGUUUCAUGCCGGCCCACUAGAAAAUUUCUCUUAUGUCACGAUACAUCUUUGUGCUACCCGGAUGUAUGGUGUAAGCUGACGAAUGAGCCUCCUCCAAGAUUUUUCUCUUUAAGGCCUCAUCUUUGGGAACAUAUAGUCGAUUACCGUACCUUAACGAUCCAUCCUCGUGGAUAUGAAAUUCUAUCUGAGAACCUGCCCCCACGGCCGCUCGGAUCUUCUGAAGAGCAGCAUCGGAUGACUGGGCCAACUUAAUUUGAUCCAAUAAUGUGGGUCGAAUUCGAAGUUGAGCCAAUCGAGCUCCCGGCUCGUGAAUAGUCACCUCUAAGUCUAUCUUUCGUAGAUCCUCUAAAAGAUACUUUUGCUCAGUAAUCAGUGUAGCCAAAUUUCCAGUGGCAUUGCGGCUUAGCGCAUCCGCUACCACAUUCGCUUUUCCGAGAUGAUACAAGAUUGUCAAGUCAUAAUCCUUCAUAAGCUCAAACCAUCUACGUUGUUGCAUAUUUAGCUCUUUCUGAGUGAAAAGAUAUUUUAAGCUUUUAUGAUUGGUGUAGAACUCACAUUGCUCCCCAUAAAGAUAAUGACGCCAAAUCUUAAGAGCAAACACUACUGCGGCAAGCUCUAGGUCAUGAGUAGGGUAGUUUUGCUCGUAUGGCUUUAGCUGUCUAGAAGCAUAAGCAAUCACUCGAUCAUUUUGCAUCAAGACACACCCUAAACCUCGUAGGCAUGCAUCACUAUAAACAGUGAAGCCUUCACCACACAUAGGAAGUGCCAAGACAGGAGCCGUGAUCAAUCGUCGCUUCAGCUCCUGAAAGUUCUCCUCGCACUCAUCGGUCCACACAAAUUUCGCUCUUUUUUUUGCGUCAACAGCGUCAAAGGGACCGCGAUCAGAGAGAACCCCUCUAUGAACCGUCGAUAAUAGCCAGCUAGGCCUAGAAAACUACGAAACUCGGUAGCACUCGUAGGCCUCGGACAUGCCUCCACAGCUUCGACCUUUCUUUUAUCAACCGAGAUACCAUCCUUGGACACGACAUGCCCCAAGAAAGAGACCUCUUCCAACUAGAAGUCACAUUUCUUUAGUUUAGCAUAAAGUUUCCUGUCUCGUAGGAUCUGGAGCACUAAUCUCCGGUGUUGUUCGUGUUGCUCUGCACUCCGCGAGUAAAUAAGAAUGUCAUCAAUAAACACCACCACAAACUAGUCUAGAUAAGGCUUGAAGAUCCGAUUCAUUACGUCCAUAAAUGUAGUCGGAGCAUUUGUCAACCUGAACGGCAUAACAAGAAACUCGUAAUGCCCAUAGCGCGUCCUAAACGCCGUCUUAGGAAUAUCCUCAGCCCUGAUCUUCAGCUGACGGUAGCCCGACUGCAAGUCGAUUUUUGAGAAAAUCUAGGAUCCUUGUAGUUGGUCGAAUAAGUCAUCAAUACGAGGUAGAGGAUAUUUGUUCUUCACCGUGAUCCGAUUCAACUCUCUAUAGUCAAUACACAGUCGCAGACUUCCAUCCUUUUUCUUCAUGAACAAAACUGGUGCACCUCAUGGCGAAACACUCGGUCGAAUAAAAUCUUUAUCCAGCAGCUCCUGUAACUGGUCUUUCAAUUCCCGCAACUCUGCGGCAGCCAUCCUAUACGAGGCUUUAGAGAUAGGUUCCGCAACUGGAAUCUCCCCAAACUUUAGCUGCUCAUUUUGUGAGUCCACCAUGUACGCUAAGAUAGCGAAGCGCCCGUUCCGCAGCAUUUUAGUAGCCUUCAAGGCUGAGAUGAUUCUCGGGGGAGAGCGGCUUCGAUCACCGACAAAGAUAAACUCUGAUCCGUAGGAAGUACAAAACACCACCUUUCGACCAGAGCAAUCGAUAGUGGCUCCAUGGGCCGUUAGCCAAUCCAUCCCGAGGAUGACAUCGAACUCUUUCAUAUCGAUGACGAUAAGGUCAGUUGGCAACACAUGACCGUUGACUUCUAUUGGACAAGAUUUGCACACUCGGCAAACCUUAACGCCUCCCACAGGCGUGUCAACCCACAAAUCACAAUCCAACGGUAAAUGUGUCAAACCAUAAUCUAAGACAACCUUACUAGAUAUGAAAGAAUGCGUGGCACCCGAAUCAAAUAUAACUGUCAGGACGUCCGCGCCUCCUGAUCCAUCCUGCUAUGUCAUAGCAUAAGCUCGUGCCUGGCUUGUCAGACCCGAGCCACUCGAGUCCCUCCAGUUUUGUAUCAACCUUUGCGCAUGCGGACCCAGUGGGGCCAUCCCGCUUGUUGAUGCUCCCGCACCUUGCUGGUGGUUUGCAUCUCGCUUUUGUUUCUUGACUGGGCAGUUGGCAAUUUUAUGUUCAAAUGAACCACACUCAAAACAGGCGCCCGACUCCCACCUGCAUCUAUUUGUACGAUGAGGUCCGCCACAAUAGUCACACUUCAUAUCUUUAGGUUGUGGUCGUGGGGGUCGACCUCCAUCUUUUUAUCUCGCGCCGCCAUUCCUACUCUUCCGAUUGUCUCGACGUCCGGAUGCACCUCCUGACGAAGACUGAGAAGGCGGGGCCUGAGUUCGACUCGGCUCAGAAAUAGUCGGUGCACUCUGCGUCCUUUGUAAUUCUUUCUCUAAUAGCAAUGCCUUGUUUACAACAUCUCUUAGAGUCGGUAGCUCAUAACCAACAACCAGUUACCUAAUGUCUGGCCUCAGACCUUCCUCAAAUUUUCAAGCUCGCUCCAGUUCGGACUCCACCAGUUUAGGAGCAAAGCGCUCUAACCGAGUAAAUUCGAGCUCGCACUCGAUAACCGUGCGAUUACUCUAUUCCAAGUGUAUGAACUCUGCCUUCUUAGCUUGACGAAUACUAUCUAGAAAGUACUUGUCAUAGAAAAUCUUACAAAACUCCUUCCAUGUCCAAGAUUGUGUUUUGUCGCUGUGUCCGUCCCGAACUGACUUCCACCACUCAUAAGCCCCUUCUCGAAGCAUAUAAAUGGCGAAAGUCACCUGUGUCUCUCCUCUGAUGCCCAUAUGCGUCAAGGCCUUCUCCAUCUCCUGGAGCCAAGACUCCGCCUCUAGAGGAUCUGUCGACCAACGAAAAAUAGGAGGAUUUAGCUUCUAAAAAUCAAUAAGGCUAUUUCCACCUCGAGGAUUGCUACUUUGCAUUGCCUUGAGGCCUCUGAUCUCUUCCUGUAGGGCCAUCAUUUGAUCUUGUUGUGUUUUAAUAACACUCAGCAUCUCUUGUAAUGGGUCAUGCGGCAUUCUCUGUCGCUUUCUUGCUGAGGAUACUUCUGGUUGCGAGUUCUCUGGUGGUAGAUCCCCCGGUGGAAUAGGAUCAACAUGGUACAUUAGCUUGCGAAGUGACAGUCCUCCGAGAAUGAGGCAUCGUCUACAAAACAGAACACAAUCAAGACAUAAAAUUUCGCUAAACCCUCGCCUCGUGUCCAAAAAGAAUCCCACGCACUCGCGCGUCCUAAAUCCCUAAGUAUGGUGUCAUUUUGCCCUAAGGUGUCAAUAACCUAGGCUCUGAUACCACUAAAGCUGUCACGCCCCAGAUCCGACUGCUCGGAUAUGAACCGCAACAACCGGCCACGAAUUCAGAGGAAGAACCUCCGAAAACGGAAGGCCUUAAAUUGAUCCAAAGCCACCAUCUCAGUUAAAAACUAAAUAAUUUAUUAAUUAAAACAAAACUAAACAAUAACUCCUAAAUGUCCAUAUAAUCAAUCUCAUGUCAAAAUAAAUCAUAUGUCCAAAAUUUGAAAUCUAUCUAACGAGUUCUCGCCGGCCAAUUAUCUCACACGCCCCGACUCUCGGUACCUGAAACAGUAGACAACAAAAGUAAGCGCAAUGCUUAACAAAAAAUCUACUUCAAGAAUAACGAUAAUUUAAAUUUGAAACCACAAAGGUCAUAAUUUAGAGCAUCUCCACUCCGUCGCUCUAACCGUGAGAGCUACAAUUACGCGCUAUUUCUCCUUGAAAGCCGCCUACCGGAUAAAUCCCUCUCCUCCGAAGAAUCCGACCGCAACAGUCAUAUCUAAUAAUAGAACAUGAUAAUAAUAAUGUGCAAAAUAAAUAAACCAUGUCUGUCAAUAAUAAUAAUAAAAUCCACUCGGAUGUAUCAACAAUUAGUAAAGAAAACAGAUAAUAAUUAUGUCCCGAACCCACUCGGAUCCGCAUAUUUUCUACCGUUU